GCUACUACCGAUUGAAUGGUUUAGUGAGGACUCCUGAUUGGCGCCGCCGCCCCGGCAACGGAGCAGCGGGCUGCCGAAAAGUUGUUCAAACUUGAUCAUUUAGAGGAAGUAAAAGUCGUAACAAGGUUUCCGUAGGUGAACCUGCAGAAGGAUCCA
This 156-nucleotide unclassified non-coding RNA is filed under the name sea anemone metagenome. Its description in RNAcentral is "partial contains small subunit ribosomal RNA and internal transcribed spacer 1". It matches the Rfam family "Eukaryotic small subunit ribosomal RNA", at positions 1678 to 1829 of the family's 1831-position model. The record is from RNAcentral.